Molecule: ribosomal RNA, 538 nt
Filed under: uncultured Lachnospiraceae bacterium
Lineage: Bacteria; Bacillati; Bacillota; Clostridia; Lachnospirales; Lachnospiraceae
Description: bacterial SSU rRNA
Rfam family: Bacterial small subunit ribosomal RNA
Source: RNAcentral
AACAGUCAGAAAUGGCUGCUAAUACCGCAUAAGCGCACAGGGCCGCAUGGCCCGGUGUGAAAAACUGAGGUGGUAUAAGAUGGACCCGCGUUGGAUUAGCCAGUUGGCAGGGUAACGGCCUACCAAAGCGACGAUCCAUAGCCGGCCUGAGAGGGUGAACGGCCACAUUGGGACUGAGACACGGCCCAGACUCCUACGGGAGGCAGCAGUGGGGAAUAUUGCACAAUGGGGGAAACCCUGAUGCAGCGACGCCGCGUGAAGGAAGAAGUAUCUCGGUAUGUAAACUUCUAUCAGCAGGGAAGAAAAUGACGGUACCUGACUAAGAAGCCCCGGCUAACUACGUGCCAGCAGCCGCGGUAAUACGUAGGGGGCAAGCGUUAUCCGGAUUUACUGGGUGUAAAGGGAGCGUAGACGGCAUAACAAGUCUGAUGUGAAAGGCUGGGGCUUAACCCCGGGACUGCAUUGGAAACUGUUAAGCUUGAGUGCCGGAGGGGUAAGCGGAAUUCCUAGUGUAGCGGUGAAAUGCGUAGAUAUUAGG